RNAcentral lists this ribosomal RNA (1394 nucleotides) under uncultured bacterium. Its description in RNAcentral is "partial 16S ribosomal RNA". It matches the Rfam family "Bacterial small subunit ribosomal RNA". The record is from RNAcentral.
UUAGAGUUUGAUCCUGGCUCAGGAUGAACGCUAGCGACAGGCCUAACACAUGCAAGUCGAGGGGUAACAGAGGCUUCGGCUCGCUGACGACCGGCGCACGGGUGAGUAACGCGUAUGCAACCUGCCUGUAACAGCGGGAUAGCUCCCUGAAAGGGGAAUUAACACCGCAUAAGACCACGCUCUCGCAUGGGGACGGGGUAAAAUAUUUAUAGGUUACAGAUGGGCAUGCGUGACAUUAGUUAGUUGGUGAGGUAACGGCUCACCAAGACUGCGAUGUCUAGGGGUUCUGAGAGGAUGAUCCCGCACACUGGCACUGAGACACGGGCCAGACUCCUACGGGAGGCAGCAGUGAGGAAUAUUGGUCAAUGGGGGGAACCCUGAACCAGCCAUCCCGCGUGCAGGAAGACAGUUCUAGUAAUUGUAAACUGCUUUUAUUAAAGAAGAAUAAGUUUGACUUGUCAAAUGAUGACAGUAUUUAAUGAAUAAGCAUCGGCUAACUCCGUGCCAGCAGCCGCGGUAAUACGGAGGAUGCAAGCGUUAUCCGGAUUUAUUAGGUUUAAAGGGUGUGUAGGCGGGAUAAUAAGUCAGUGGUGAAAGUUUUCAGCUUAACUGGAAAAUUGCCAUUGAAACUGUUUUUCUUGAGUUUGGAUGAGGUAUGCGGAAUGUGUAAUGUAGCGGUGAAAUGCUUAGAUAUUACCCAGAACCCCUAUUGCGAAGGCAGCAUGCUAAUCCAUAACUGACGCUGAUGCACGAAAGCGUGGGGAUCAAACAGGAUUAGAUACCCUGGUAGUCCACGCCGCAAACGAUGAGUGCUAGGUGUUGGGAGUCAAAUCUCGGUGCCGCAGCUAACGCAUUAAGCACUCCGCCUGGGGAGUACGUACGCAAGUAUGAAACUCAAAGGAAUUGACGGGGACCCGCACAAGCAGCGGAGCAUGUGGUUUAAUUCGAAGCAACGCGAAGAACCUUACCAGGUCUUGACAUACUAGUGACGUAUAUAGAGAUAUAUAUUUUUUUUCGGAGACACUAAUACAGGUGGUGCAUGGUUGUCGUCAGCUCGUGUCGUGAGAUGUUGGGUUAAGUCCCGCAACGAGCGCAACCCCCGCCUUUAGUUGCCAUCAUUAAGUUGGGCACUCUAGAGGGACUGCCGAUGACAAAUCGGAGGAAGGUGGGGAGGACGUCAAAUCAUCAUGCCCUAUAUGACCUGGGCUACACACGUGCUACAAUGGUCGGCACAACGAGCAGCGACACAGCGAUGUGAAGCGAAUCUCUUAAAGCCGAUCUCAGUUCGGAUUGUACUCUGCAACUCGAGUACAUGAAGUCGGAGUUGCUAGUAAUCGCGGAUCAGAAUGCCGCGGUGAAUAAGUUCCCGGGUCUUGCACACACCGCCCGUCAAG